UGGGGAAUUUUGGACAAUGGGCGAAAGCCUGAUCCAGCAAUGCCGCGUGUGUGAAAAGGCCUUCGGGUUGUAAAGCACUUUUGUCCGGAAAGAAAUCCUUGGCUCUAAUACAGUCGGGGGAUGACGGUACCGGAAGAAUAAGCACCGGCUAACUACGUGCCAGCAGCCGCGGUAAUACGUAGGGUGCAAGCGUUAAUCGGAAUUACUGGGCGUAAAGCGUGCGCAGGCGGUUUGCUAAGACCGAUGUGAAAUCCCCGGGCUCAACCUGGGAACUGCAUUGGUGACUGGCAGGCUAGAGUAUGGCAGAGGGGGGUAGAAUUCCACGUGUAGCAGUGAAAUGCGUAGAGAUGUGGAGGAAUACCGAUGGCGAAGGCAGCCCCCUGGGCCAAUACUGACGCUCAUGCACGAAAGCGUGGGGAGCAAACAGGAUUAGAUACCCUGGUAGUCCACGCCCUAAACGAUGUCAACUAGUUGUUGGGGAUUCAUUUCCUUAGUAACGUAGCUAACGCGUGAAGUUGACCGCCUGGGGAGUACGGUCGCAAGAUUAAAACUCAAAGGAAUUGAC
RNAcentral lists this ribosomal RNA (565 nucleotides) under uncultured bacterium. Its description in RNAcentral is "partial 16S ribosomal RNA". It matches the Rfam family "Bacterial small subunit ribosomal RNA", at positions 355 to 914 of the family's 1533-position model. The record is from RNAcentral.